RNAcentral lists this ribosomal RNA (475 nucleotides) under uncultured bacterium. RNAcentral describes it as "bacterial SSU rRNA". It matches the Rfam family "Bacterial small subunit ribosomal RNA", at positions 28 to 507 of the family's 1533-position model. The record is from RNAcentral.
GACGAACGCUGGCGGCGUGCCUAAUACAUGCAAGUCGAGCGGGGAUUAUGCUUGAUCGCUUCGGUGAGACGGCAUAUAUCCUAGCGGCGGACGGGUGAGUAACGCGUGGGUAAUCUACCUCGUAGUUCGGGAUAACAGGCCGAAAGGCUUGCUAAUACCGGAUGAGUUCAUGCUUAUGCAUAUAGGCAUGAAGAAAGGGCUAGCCCGCUAUGAGAUGAGCCCGCGUCCCAUUAGCUUGUUGGUGGGGUAAUGGCCUACCAAGGCAACGAUGGGUAGCCGGCCUGAGAGGGUGUACGGCCACACUGGGACUGAGACACGGCCCAGACUCCUACGGGGGCAGCAGUAGGGAAUUUUCGGCAAUGGGCGAAAGCCUGACCGAGCGACGCCGCGUGAGGGACGAAGGCCUUCGGGUUGUAAACCUCUGUCUGGGGGAUGAGAACGGACGGUACCCCGGAGGAGCCCGGCUAACUACGUG